UACGGAGGGUGCAAACGUUGCUCGGAAUCAUUGGGCGUAAAGCGCACGUAGGCGGUCCAGCAAGUCGGGUGUGAAAGCCCUCGGCUUAACCGAGGAAGUGCAUUCGAAACUACUGGGCUUGAGUACUGAAGAGGAUCGCGGAAUUCCCGGUGUAGAGGUGAAAUUCGUAGAUAUCGGGAGGAAUACCAGUGGCGAAGGCGGCGAUCUGGGCAGAUACUGACGCUGAGGUGCGAAAGCGUGGGGAGCAAACAGG
This 253-nucleotide ribosomal RNA is filed under the name uncultured bacterium. Its description in RNAcentral is "partial 16S ribosomal RNA". It matches the Rfam family "Bacterial small subunit ribosomal RNA", at positions 524 to 776 of the family's 1533-position model. The record is from RNAcentral.